GGGGGACUUUAGUGUACUAUCAAAAUGCAAUGAACAAAAAUGUAAGUAUGUGUGUAGUGGGGGAAGCUGUUAAACAUUUAAUUUAAUUGUGUGUCAUUCUAGGUGACAGAGGGACAUUCUAGAGGACAGAGGAGAUCUCCAAGGACAGCCGAUGUCGCAAGAGAGGAGAAUAGUGACAGUGGUUCCAAAGAAUAAAGGUUAGAGAAGACCACAAGGGGCAUCAAGUCUAACCCCCCUGCCAAGAUGCAGGCUUUGGUCUGUCUAAACCCUACAGAGGAAUAUGAUCUGCAACAAUGUAACUCUCCUUUUGAUUCUCUUUGGGAGUUCAGAUAUCUACAGAUUCAAUGGCAAAGAAAUAUAUGUGCCUUGAGAAAACUUGUGCACUUCUUGGAGUUGAUGAGAGGUUUUGUCUGUGGAAGGACUUCAGCAUCAGGACUUGGUUUACCAAACGGAAGUCACACCAUAAAAAAUGUAACAGCUGUAUAUACUCUGAAGAUCCUCAAUAAUUGCACUGCAGUAUGAGCAAGAGAGAGAACAAGUGGCACACCCAAUGUGAGCUAGCAGGAAUAACGGUAGAUUUCAUGGUCGUGACAUCACCACCAGGCCCAGAACACUUCCUGCCAGGCUGUGGUGCUCCACAGGGAGAGAAGAUCAGAAGCGGUUAGGAGAUACAAUGAAAUUCCAGGCUCUCAAGGGACCUGAAGCUGACUAUAUUUCAACUGACAAAUGGACCAUUGUGAAUUCUGACAUAGCAAAUGUAUUAUACUACAUUUAAUAUAUAAAUUAGCCUAUUUUAUAGAAUAUUUACAAAUUGUUAAUUUUCAUGUAAUAUAAAAAUUACUUAUAUUUGUAUAUAGUACAUUUUUUUUUCUGAAGAAUCCCAAAGUGCUUUACACUAUACAAAAAUUACUUCACCGCUAAAUUGGAGUGUAACUGCACAUUGCAGUUUAGGACAGGAUGUGAAGAAUAAUAUUAUAUCCAAUUAAAACUGCAAGGGGAACUGUAAGUAGGCAGAGCUGUUACCAGAUUUAGGACUAGGCCUGGCCUUGGCCUAGGGUUAGCACUUGUACUCUUGUAAACAAAUCUUAAAUAUCUCAGUGUAAAGUCUCAUUUGUAAAAUUUCAUCUCUAGUAGUAUCUCCACUAAGAUUAUUCUGGAAAUAAAUAUAUGAAUCACUCUUAACCUGAGCUGCACAACACUGAUAACUUCAGUGGGAGUCUAGAGUAUUCUGCCCUCUUCUUGUACUGUAUCAAAAGAAUUGACUAUUAUAUUUUGUGAUCUAUAAAAAGGGCAUGGCUUUCAGCAGUCAAAUAAAAAAAAAAUGUGAGCCAGGGCAAAUGAGACUCAAAGAAUUUAAACCAAAUCACUUUAUUGUAUUGGCUUAUAUGACUGCUUUAUCAUUUUGUCCCGCAAUUGUACAUACACAUUAUCUGUGUGAUACUGACAUAGCAAAUCAUUUGUUUCUAAACACCAAACUGAAAAUAAAAAUUUACUACUCUGGAUUUA
Molecule: non-coding RNA, 1506 nt
Organism: Chrysemys picta bellii (western painted turtle)
Lineage: Eukaryota; Metazoa; Chordata; Testudines; Emydidae
Source: RefSeq, a predicted model, not a curated record